UACGUAGGGCGCGUGCGUUGUUCGGAAUUACUGGGCGUAAAGGGCUCGUAGGCGGCCAACUAAGUCGGACGUGAAAUCCCUCAGCUUAACUGGGGAACUGCGUCCGAUACUGGAUGGCUUGGAUUUGGGAGAGGGAUGCGGAAUUCCAGGUGUAGCGGUGAAAUGCGUAGAUAUCUGGAGGAACACCGGUGGCGAAGGCGGCAUCCUGGACCAAUAUUGACGCUGAGGAGCGAAAGCCAGGGGAGCAAACGGG
Molecule: ribosomal RNA, 253 nt
Filed under: uncultured bacterium
Lineage: Bacteria
Description: partial 16S ribosomal RNA
Rfam family: Bacterial small subunit ribosomal RNA
Source: RNAcentral